AGAAAGCCCAAGGAUGUGUGGGCAGUUCGUCUCAGCAUUGGAACCUAUCUUAUAGAUGGCAAAUACUUCAAGCCCUUGGAGCUUCAAGAAUGAAACUUGUACUGUUUUCAAUUCAAAGCUUAACGUCAAUGAAAGUAUGCAAAUUUCAAUUCAAUUUGAAAAAUUGAAUAAAAUCAAAACUGUUUUUAAUGGGUUUAAUUCAGUUUUUUAGCCAAAUCAGUUAACUUGGUGGAAAUCUCUAGCUUUUAUCAAUCGAUGUGAUCUCCCUGGGAAAA
Molecule: long non-coding RNA, 275 nt
Filed under: Jatropha curcas
Lineage: Eukaryota; Viridiplantae; Streptophyta; Magnoliopsida; Malpighiales; Euphorbiaceae
Description: long non-coding RNA (JCUR_LNC003517)
Source: RNAcentral